RNAcentral lists this small nuclear RNA (339 nucleotides) under Octodon degus (degu). Its description in RNAcentral is "7SK RNA (ENSODEG00000023943.1)". It matches the Rfam family "7SK RNA". Rfam says of the family: 7SK was discovered as an abundant small nuclear RNA in the mid-70s but a possible function has only recently been suggested. Lineage: Eukaryota; Metazoa; Chordata; Mammalia; Rodentia; Octodontidae. The record is from RNAcentral.
GGAUGUGAGGGUGAUCUGGCUGCAGCAUCUGUCACCCCAUUGAUCGCCAUGGUUGAUUCAGCUGAUCUGGCUGGUGAGGCAGGUGUCCCCUUCCUCCUUCAGUGCUCCAUGUGUGUCCCUCCUAAAGCUGCAUGCUCAGUCAAAGAUGACAGCCACCCCUGAUAGAGGAGGGGUCAGGGGUACAUGAGGUCAGGAGGGUUCAUUGGUCAAGGGUACACAAGUAACUGCGCUCCCCCUGCCAGAACCUCCAAACAGGCUCUCAAGAUAAAAUCCUUAUAAGCUAAAAUUUUUGUUUUGUAUUUUAUAUUAAAUAUGCAUAAUUAAAAUAAUUAUUAAUAA